This 785-nucleotide ribosomal RNA is filed under the name uncultured Sedimentibacter sp. Its description in RNAcentral is "bacterial SSU rRNA". It matches the Rfam family "Bacterial small subunit ribosomal RNA", at positions 8 to 816 of the family's 1533-position model. The record is from RNAcentral. Lineage: Bacteria; Bacillati; Bacillota; Tissierellia.
AGAGUUUGAUCCUGGCUCAGGACGAACGNCUGGCGGCGUGCCUAACACAUGCAAGUCGAACGAAGUAUAUUUAUAUACUUAGUGGCGGACGGGUGAGUAACGCGUGAGCAAUCUGCCCUAUACAGAGGAAUAGCCUCGGGAAACCGGGAUUAAAACCACAUAACACUUAAGUGCCGCAUGACACAUAAGUCAAAUUGAGUAAGAGGUAUAGGAUGAGCUCGCGUCUGAUUAGCUAGUUGGUGGGGUAAAGGCCUACCAAGGCGACGAUCAGUAGCCGGCCUGAGAGGGUGAACGGCCACACUGGAACUGAGACACGGUCCAGACUCCUACGGGAGGCAGCAGUGGGGAAUAUUGCACAAUGGAGGGAACUCUGAUGCAGCGACGCCGCGUGAGUGAAGAAGGUCUUCGGAUCGUAAAACUCUGUCCUUGGUGAAGAUAAUGACGGUAGCCAAGGAGGAAGCCCCGGCUAACUACGUGCCAGCAGCCGCGGUAAUACGUAGGGGGCUAGCGUUGUCCGGAUUUACUGGGCGUAAAGGGUGAGUAGGCGGUUGCAUAUGUCAGAUGUAAAAGGCGUAGGCUUAACUUACGUUAGCAUUUGAAACUGUGCGACUUGAGUGCAGGAGAGGUAAGCGGAAUUCCUAGUGUAGCGGUGAAAUGCGUAGAUAUUAGGAGGAACACCAGUGGCGAAAGCGGCUUACUGGACUGUAACUGACGCUGAGUCACGAAAGCGUGGGUAGCAAACAGGAUUAGAUACCCUGGUAGUCCACGCUGUAAACGAUGAGUGC